Molecule: long non-coding RNA, 5759 nt
Filed under: Cinara cedri
Lineage: Eukaryota; Metazoa; Arthropoda; Insecta; Hemiptera; Aphididae
Source: RNAcentral
CACGGACGUUCUUUUUCUUAUUCGUAAGAUACUCAUCAGUUAACAUUAACAAUGCAACGUUUAAUUGUAAUUUCUAUAAUUUUUGUGAUGGUCUUCAUCGACACAUGCAGAUCAUUCACGAUAAUUGGUAAAUAUACAUAAUAUAUGAGAAUUACGAAUAACAGAAGAGUAAUAAUGUUAUAUUUUUUCAUAAUUAAAACAUGAAUAACUGUAGGUUUUUGAAGUUUUUUAAUGUUUUUAUUAACAUUUUCUAUACAUGAUACGAUUUUCAAUAUAUUUUGACUUGUAUAGUCAUAUUAUUUUUUUGUAAGCAUUUAAAACUAAAGUUUUAAAAAAAAAUCUCGGAAAAUUCAGAUAGCAUUACAUGUCUAGUGUAUAUUGAUUAUAGAAUAAUUUUUCUUUCAGUGUGUAUCAGUUGAUUUAUGCCUAAUAUAAAUCUCGUAAUGUAGUGAUAACAAAUAUUUUUUGCUAUCAUAAACUUUACAUUAACACCUUACUUAACAUUACGAACUGCGUGGAAACAUAUCGCAUUAAUGAAGCCCGCCUUGAUACCAGGUGUACUAAUUUUACAAUAAUACGCUAAUGUAAAUUAUCGUACGCCUACUGUACACACGUCACAUAAUCAACGGUUUUACAGUGAAUAAUUGUAUAUAAUUUGUAAUUUAUAUUUUGUGUUAAUAAGUAGAUCGUAGGUACUUGUGAUAUUAUAUUAGGGCAUCAGGCAGUUAAGUAUACUUGGUACUUAAAUAUUCAGAAUAUAGGUUCACGAGUUAAAAAAAAAAAAAUUAACUUGCCCAGCCUUGUGAAUAUGUAACUGAAAUUUAAUUUUGUAAUUUUCUGUGGAAUUUAAAAAUUAUUAUAAUUUAUUUUUACCGUAGACCAGGGUAUCAAUGAGAUGCUGGCACCCGAUGGUAAGAUACGUUUAAAAAUAUCAGAAUACAUAUAAAUCAAAUAUUCUGAAAAUGUAUUAAAAUAUUUUAUAUUAAUAAUAUUUUUACCAUAGAAUACCUAAAACAAGAAAUUUAACGUAUAGUUUAUGAUUUUAGAUAUUAUACGAUAAUUAUUAAAUAAUAAUAAUUAAAUUUCAAUAAGUAAUAAUAAUAUAAAUUAUUUAAUUUAUUUAUUUAAAAUUCUUUAAUUUAUUGGCAAAACACCAAUGCUAAACACACUUUCAUUGGUAGUACUACUGAUCAUACACGUAUAAUUUACCUCAGUGAGUGCCACUUGGGCGCGAAGCAGUAUAAUAAUUGUCAGGCAACCUUUUCAAAAUGGGUUAUACAAACCACGCACUAACUAAAAAUGUUUUUCAAAACUAAUUGAGGGUUUGCCAUCCAUCCAUCCAUCUUUUGAUAUUUCUCUAUUUAUAAAAACACCCAUUUUUUUGUAUUUUUUUUUUACAAUUUAUUUAGAUAUAUUAUAAAAAGUAAUAAUAUAUAAGUUGUACUAUGGCAACAAUGUAAGUUGAUAAUAAUUAAUAAUAUAGUUGCAAAAAUUAGUAUUUAAUUAAAUAGUAAAAUAUUUGCUAAGAAUAAACCAAAAAUAAUUUAGUAUCUUAAGACAAUUUAUAGUACCUACAUUUUAGAUUCGGAGCGUAGCGAGGGAUCUAUCGAUUUUACUGUGAUGAAUGCUUUUUUUAUGUCUUGAAAAAAAAGAGUGUUAAAACAAAUCUUUAGUUCGGUAUAAAGUACUUCAUGUUUAGUUAUCAGUUUUGUCUGAGCGGAGCGUAAACCAUCAAUAGUCUUCAGAAUGUCAUCAAGAGACGAUCAUUGCUUACGAUUAGAAGGUGACUGGAGUUUUAUGGAACCAGAUAAAGAAGAACGAAUUAGAAUUGGUGAGUUUAAGUUGGUUGCCACGAAGAAGCUAGAAAACACCGCAGGCUUAUAAAAAACAAGAGAAGUACGAUAAGUUAAGAUGAGCGACAGCGGGUGGCUUAAGACUAUUAAGAGACGGCGAGUAAAGGUACACAGAUUACUAAGAUUAUAAUUUGAGUGUGCAACUGGUGACUAGGAGAAAGAAGAUAGGCAGAAUCUUCUUAGAAACUCUCAAAAUAUAAAGGAACCCAAACAGUAACAUCGGUACAAGUGGAAAAGAUAAGUAGAAUUAUCGUACGCUUGUAAGAUAUUAAUUUAUAUGAGAAUAAAUAAAAACGAGAAAGCAAUUGAGAUGUUAUCACUUGUUAUGAUGUUAUUGAAAUAAAAGAAUAUUUUAAUAAUUUUAAAUCGAAUUGUAAGACUUCGAUAGUUUUAAUUAUUUUGUCGGUUUCCAUCAUGGAUUAAUUUAAAUGUGUAGUACGUAUAGCAUGUCCAAUGUAUGGUGACCAGAUAUAAAAAUAAAAAAAAAGUGCGUUUUAAAAUUUGUUGUCUUUAUUAUAAAAAAAACUCCUACCUUGAAAGAAUUGGCCAAUGUGUAUACUGUUCUACCCAUUUUGCCCAUAGGUCAUCUCCAUCUAUAUACAUUAUUUUUUAUCUGAUUACUAUAUUAUUAUUUUUUCUAUUAUCAACUAUAAAAACUCAUUUGAAUAUCAUUUGAAAUCAUAAUGUCAACUCAUUUGGUUUUUGUUUUUAUGAUGAAAAUACUUUGAAGUUUAACAUUUCCAAAAAAAAUCAUUUUAAAUAAAUAAUUUUUAUAGGUAAAAAUUUAAAUAAAUAAAUACAACCGUUGUCGGUUACUUGUAGACAUUUGGAAUGCAUUAGGUCGAACAAUAAAAUAUAAAAGUAUAAAUGAAUAAAUAAAUUAUAAAAAUCGUAAACACGUAUUAGCUUAUAUUUUCAAAAAAAAGAGUACACUUUAAUGUACUUAACACUAAUGUUAAGGACAUAGGACAAUGCAUAAAAAAGAGCACUCUCCUACGAAGAAGAGUCUGGUCACCAUAGUAUAUAUUAUAGGUAAAAUCCGAAAUUGGACAAAUCUCAGAAAUGCCCGAGCAAAACGGGAAGUGCCCACGAUACUUAGGUAAAACGUCAAAUUUCGGAUUUUUCUCGGGCAAAUCUGUUACAUAAAUUUCAAUUUUUCACAUUAGGUAGUGUACAGUGUUAUUAAUAUUACAACAUUCUACUAUUAAUAAUAUUACAAUCUAGCUCUCCUCAGUAUUAAAUAAUAAAUAAAAUAUACAUAUUUAGUAUAGAAAUAAUUAAUUUCACUAAAUACAAUUUUUAAAAAUUGUAACACUUAUAUUAUAUUAUGUAAUUUGAAAGAUUCGACAAAAAAAUAAAAAUUAUUAAUUUUAUAUUAAAAAUAUGUAAAUUAUUUUAAAUAAAUUAAGUUUAUUUUUUUUAAAUUAACUUGUAAUUGCCUUUACAAAGUAAUAAAAGAAAAAAAAAGAACUGUAACUUUUCAUUUUAAACUUAACUUACAAUUCUAAAUAUAAAUUCACGAAUUAAAAAAUGACUUAAUAAUAAUAAUUAUAUCUUUUUUUUAAUUCAAGACCCUGAAUGGAGUACAAAUAUACCGUUACCAACUAGUAAGAUACUUCUUAAAACUAUAAAAAUAUGUAUAAUAAUCUUAAUAUGAAUUUGAAUACGUAAUAUUUAGUUCUUAUCUGACUUAAGUCCGAUACAGCCGUUCGUUGUUCGUCACUCAUUGUUAUGCUCGGUUAUAUGGGUAUUACGUAAAUAUAUAUUAUAAAACUAUUAUAGCCAUCAAACUCUUGCAAUGUCAGAGUGUGCCAAGUGCUUAGAAAAUCUAGACCAUUUUGGCGACGUUUUUCCGUGCACUAUAUAUAAUAAAAAUACAGAUUUCUAUGGCAAUGGAAUUUCUGAAUCGCAACUCAAAAAAGACGAAUAUACUUUGCCCGAUGGAUGAAGUCACUGUUGUUGGUGAGAAGUUGGUAAAGUAGGUUAUAGAGGAGAAAUUAAUUUGUAUCUGUAAGUAACGAUAAAUCUAUACUUAAUAAACAAGAUAUUGUGUGGAGUUUUGUUAAUAGUGAUGCUUUUUCAACAAUAUGUAUACCAUACUAUUGUAAACAAUUUAAAUAGGCAUUCUAUAUUUACUUAAAUAAUAUUUGUUUAAUAUUGUACUGAUUUUCCCGUUUUUUUACGUUUUUUUCAUUUACUGAGAAAACUCUUGAGAAGAUGACCUCCUUAAAGUACCUUUUCACUCAGAUUUUUUUUCACAAAAAGUGCUAUUAUUUUAAAUCUGAGAAAAAUUGCUGGUAGAAAAGUUGUUCGUAAANUUUUCAACUGAUACCUACAUUUUGAACAUUUUUCCGUUUCGUCUCAUUUAUCGAGAAAUCUCCAAAACAAAUCGAAAAAUGACUCCCCUAUAGUAUCACUCUAGUCUGAUUUCCUUCAGAAAAAGUACUACAAUUAAAAAUCGGAGCAAGAUUUCUGGUAGAUAAGCGUGCACAACAAAUCGAGGAUUAUUUUUCAAUUAAAAUAGUUUUAGCGAGCGAUAGUUACUAAGUACACUUAAAAUACAUUUGUUUCGAAACUUCGGUUUACAAUUGUGAUCUCUAUGAUGUUAAUAGAAUAUUUUAACCAUUAGACUACGGCAAACAUAUUUAAGUUUGAGAAUUUAUAGUUAUUUAACAUAACAUAUAAUAUCUGCUUAAUAUUAGUUCAAUUAAUUCUGACCUUAUCAUCGUUUUUAAAUCAGCAGUAUACAUAUGUUCAGGACAAAAAAUUUCAAAAUUAGAUUUGUUAUACGUAAUUUGAUAUUAAAAUUUCUCUAUAAAAAAAAAAAAUACUUCAUUAAACACAAUUUUUUUUUCCUACUUCAAAGUAAGACUUUUAAUGAACCUUCUCUGAAAUUUGUAUGCAUUUAUUUUUAGUUUGACAAUUUAAACAUUGAGUACUACCAAAUAAAAAUUACGUACAAAAAUCGUAAAUUAAAAUGUUUAUAAAUAACUCAUAGCAGUAUAGUCCAACGGGAAAACUCCCGAAAUCUCGAUGGACUACUUUGCCCUUGUACANUAAUAUCUGCUUAAUAUUAGUUCAAUUAAUUCUGACCUUAUCAUCGUUUUAAAAUCAGCAGUAUACAUAUGUUCAGGAAAAAAAAUUUCAAAAUUAGAUUUGUUAUACGUAAUUUGACAUUAAAAUUUCUCUAUCAAAAGAAAAAAUACUACAUUAAACACAAUUUUUUUUUCCGACUACAAAGUAAGACUUUUAUUGAACCUUCACUGAAAUUUGUAUGCAUUUAUUUUUAGUUUGACAAUUUAAACAUUGAGUACUACCGAAUAAAAACUACGCACAAAAAUCGCAAAUUAAAAUGUUUAUAAGCUUAUAGUUAUAGCUCAUAGCAGUCUAGUCCAUCGGGAAAACUCCCGAAAUCUCGAUGGACCACUUUGCCCUUGUACAUAUGUGAACAUUAUCGUUUUGUUUUUCCAAAUUACGGGAAUUUUUGCCUUUGCGAACUAUGCGUACAAUUUGUUUAUCAUUAUUGCGGGUCUAGGACGAAUGGAGACGGCCGUAGACAAAAAUGCUCGUAAUUUGGAAAAACUAAACGAUAAUGUACACAUAUGCAAAACAAUAUUAUUAACAUAUAAAUGGCAUUUUAUGUUUCUGUCAAAAAUUAUAUUACAUAUGUAAUUUUUAUAUAUUAUGAACAAUAAAGAGCCCAACAAAUACACGGUAUCACCAAAUGCAUGGAAGUAUAAUUUUCCCUGUCAAUAAUCGGUUUAAUACGUGUGCAAAAUACGUGCGCUCUGACCUCCUAAAAAUUCAAUAUAGUCGAAUGUAUUGAAUGUAAAUUAUAUAUAUUUUUAAAAUUGUCCGUGAUAUUAAAAAUAAUAUUUAUUUUAUUAUUCUAGAUGCGAAUCCUGG